RNAcentral lists this unclassified non-coding RNA (282 nucleotides) under uncultured fungus. RNAcentral's name for it is "partial contains small subunit ribosomal RNA, internal transcribed spacer 1, and 5.8S ribosomal RNA". The stretch from base 1 to 73 matches the Rfam family "Eukaryotic small subunit ribosomal RNA", at positions 1759 to 1831 of the family's 1831-position model. Lineage: Eukaryota; Fungi. The record is from RNAcentral.
UCAAACUUGGUCAUUUAGAGGAAGUAAAAGUCGUAACAAGGUAACCGUAGGUGAACCUGCGGUUGGAUCAUUAAUAAAUGAUAGCCAGUUCUCUUUGCUUUGGCAGAGAUCGAGCAGGCAUUAACCCUUUGUGAACUGUAACUAUACAUGGGUAGAAGAUCUUCUCCGGAAGUGACGCUGCCUACUAUUAUAGACCCCUUAUAUGUUUAACUGAAAUGUGAUCUAAGAGAUAUAACUUUUGACAAUGGAUCUCUUGGCUCUCGCAUCGAUGAAGAACGCAGC